This 139-nucleotide non-coding RNA is filed under the name Rhodococcus erythropolis. The record is from RNAcentral. Lineage: Bacteria; Bacillati; Actinomycetota; Actinomycetes; Mycobacteriales; Nocardiaceae.
UUCGCAUGUAAACGCGAUGGUCCGACAGGAAUCCGGUGAAAGCCCGGAGCGGUCGCGCCACUGUAAUUCGAGGUGAAGUGCCUUUUUCGGCACGACUAUUUCGACAGCCAGACACUUCGGCCAUCGCAUGGACCUAGGG